CCUACGGGAGGCAGCAGUGAGGAAUAUUGGUCAAUGGACGAGAGUCUGAACCAGCCAAGUAGCGUGAAGGAUGACUGCCCUAUGGGUUGUAAACUUCUUUUAUAUGGGAAUAAAAUGUUCCACGUGUGGGAUUUUGUAUGUACCAUAUGAAUAAGGAUCGGCUAACUCCGUGCCAGCAGCCGCGGUAAUACGGAGGAUCCGAGCGUUAUCCGGAUUUAUUGGGUUUAAAGGGAGCGUAGGUGGAUUGUUAAGUCAGUUGUGAAAGUUUGCGGCUCAACCGUAAAAUUGCAGUUGAAACUGGCAGUCUUGAGUACAGUAGAGGUGGGCGGAAGUCGUGGUGUAGCGGUGAAAUGCUUAGAUAUCACGAAGAACUCCAAUUGCGAAGGCAGUUCACUGGACUGCAACUGACACUGAGGCUCGAAAGUGUGGGUAUCAAACAGGAUUAGAUACCCUAGUAGUC
RNAcentral lists this ribosomal RNA (460 nucleotides) under uncultured bacterium. Its description in RNAcentral is "partial 16S ribosomal RNA". It matches the Rfam family "Bacterial small subunit ribosomal RNA", at positions 338 to 795 of the family's 1533-position model. The record is from RNAcentral.